Molecule: long non-coding RNA, 514 nt
Filed under: Castor canadensis (American beaver)
Lineage: Eukaryota; Metazoa; Chordata; Mammalia; Rodentia; Castoridae
Description: lncRNA (ENSCCNG00000006606.1)
Source: RNAcentral
CUGCUUAUCCAGGUCUGGUGUCCUGUGAUGAGGUAACAUACUUAAGAUCUAUGCUGCCUGCUCACAACUUCAAGAACUGCCAGAGAAAAUUAUGAAAAACAUCUCCAGCCCAGGGACAAUGUAUGAAUAUCUUGGCCAUAGAAGAUGUAUAAUGUUUGGGAAGAGACAUUUCGCCAGAGAGAGAAAUAAAAAUCUCCCUUUGUUAGACUGGGAGAAAGAACUGGAAGUCUUCAGUUUGGCACAGCAGGAGUGUUUGCACCAGAAGAAGGGACAAUCAGUUCUGUAUGAAGGUAGAAAAGGCUAUGGAAAAAGCCAACUCUUGGCUGAAAUAAACUUCCUGGCACAGAAGAAAGGACAAAGUUUCCCUUAUCCUUCCAAGUUUCACAUAUGGAUGACCUGGCUAGACAAAAGAAGGCUAAAGCAUGUUUUAUUCAAGUGCUUCAGGAGGUGGGUACUUUUGCUACAUACCAUUAACUCUUAAUAUUUGAGAUGGCAUAUGCUCAUUUUAAUCAUA